AUCAAAGUAGGCGGAGCUUUAUCGUUCACCAAACAAACAUGCAGGGCGACUCUUCGCCGUGAGGCUGAUGGAGGAAACACUUAUCCUGAGAUGAUAGGCUAUCUAAAGGACAUCCAGCAGCUGGGAUGACACAUCUUGGAAAAUCCUUGCUUUAUCUCUCUCAACAGGACCCCAAAUGUUGAUCAUGAGGCCCAUUGCUGUCAUUGUACAUCCACACAAGGAAAGGAAACCAAAUCGUCCUGCUCAGCAAAGAUCAUUUCUUGUUUUUGACGGGGUUUUUUUACUGAUGAGGGAUGGAGAGGCAGCUGAGAAAUCUAUAUUGUUUUCCUUUUGAAUAUUUGUUUUUUAGUGAAUUGUGUAAGAUGAGACUUUACUGUAAGAUCAUGUUUAUAUCAUUUACACUAGUGAGUUAAAGCUAGUAAGUUUUUUUAUUUUUGUUUUUUAUAGCCCAGUCUGGAUUUAUCUGAUUAGAGAUAAUGUUAUGUUAGGUAUAUUAUUACAAUUGGAAAAAUAGCUGUGUAUUUACUCAUGAGAUGGAUAAGCUGAAUUCUCAGCAGCCAUGACUUCAGUCUUCGGUGUCACACAAUCCUGCAGAAAUCAUGUUAAAAACAAGUUGUUGCUUAACAUUUUGAAUGGAAACCAUGACGCAUUUUUGUCUGUGUUAAAGUUCAGCAUCUAUGAGAAACAGAAGUGCAUUUUAACAUAAAUGUUCUUACUGUCA
RNAcentral lists this long non-coding RNA (721 nucleotides) under Danio rerio (zebrafish). RNAcentral's name for it is "si:ch73-335m24.8 (ENSDARG00000100834.2)". Lineage: Eukaryota; Metazoa; Chordata; Actinopteri; Cypriniformes; Danionidae. The record is from RNAcentral.